Molecule: long non-coding RNA, 721 nt
Filed under: Oryctolagus cuniculus (rabbit)
Lineage: Eukaryota; Metazoa; Chordata; Mammalia; Lagomorpha; Leporidae
Description: lncRNA (ENSOCUG00000034739.1)
Source: RNAcentral
GGGGCCGGCCCGACGCGGAGCCGAGCCGGAGCCGCCGCCGCCGCCGCCGCCGCGGUCCCGGGAGGAGGCGACACCAUGUCGGACCGGGUCACAUGGGGCGGCGCGGGCCCGGGCUUGGGCCCGCCCCUCACACCUGCGGCCGUGGAGCCACUUUGGGGUGCGGACUGAGGCCGGGGCGCGGACAGCCCCCAUCCCGGGCAGCCGGGAGCACUUGGUGCGAGCGCAGGCGUUCGUGCAUCGAGCUUGCUGUGGGACCCACCGAAGGCCCCUGCCCUCAAGAAGCACCUAGUAGGAUGGCUUUCCUGUCAAGGGAGCCUUCCUCUUCCUCCCUUGAGUGAUGCUUCCUCUCCGCAGGCCACAUGCCGGGGCCCCAGGAACAGCAGCCCUGGAAGUUCCAUACCCCGGUUUCUCACACAGGGUGCAAAGAUCACCCAGGAUCCCUUCUCUGUACCACCCAUUCAAUUCUCAUGGCACCCACCUGAGAGGAGAGCGCCCGAGGUCUACACCUGUGCUGUCCAACACCGUCCCUCCUUGCCACGUGACUCUGAAGCAUUUGAAGUGUGACUGGUUCAAAUUGAAGUAUGCUGUAUCAUGCUAUUGGAAGCUAUCAAGACAGGAACACUGCAAAUUAAGGAAAUGUCACAUCAAUUCAACAUUUAUGGAUCUCUGUACAGUGAGGUGCUCUGGAAAGAUAAAUGUGGUUCCUGCAUUUUGUGUUUAG